UACGAAGGGGGCUAGCGUUGUUCGGAAUUACUGGGCGUAAAGCGCACGUAGGCGGACAUUUAAGUCAGGGGUGAAAUCCCAGAGCUCAACUCUGGAACUGCCUUUGAUACUGGGUGUCUUGAGUAUGGAAGAGGUGAGUGGAAUUCCGAGUGUAGAGGUGAAAUUCGUAGAUAUUCGGAGGAACACCAGUGGCGAAGGCGGCUCACUGGCCCGGUACUGACGCUGAGGUGCGAAAGCGUGGGGAGCAAACAGG
This 253-nucleotide ribosomal RNA is filed under the name uncultured bacterium. Its description in RNAcentral is "partial 16S ribosomal RNA". It matches the Rfam family "Bacterial small subunit ribosomal RNA", at positions 524 to 776 of the family's 1533-position model. The record is from RNAcentral.